UACGUAGGGGGCGAGCGUUGUCCGGAUUCAUUGGGCGUAAAGAGCUCGUAGGCGGUCUGUCGCGUCGGCUGUGAAAACCCGGGGCUCAACCCCGGGCCUGCAGUCGAUACGGGCAGACUAGAGUGCGGUAGGGGAGACUGGAAUUCCUGGUGUAGCGGUGAAAUGCGCAGAUAUCAGGAGGAACACCGGUGGCGAAGGCGGGUCUCUGGGCCGUAACUGACGCUGAGGAGCGAAAGCGUGGGGAGCGAACAGG
RNAcentral lists this ribosomal RNA (253 nucleotides) under uncultured bacterium. RNAcentral's name for it is "partial 16S ribosomal RNA". It matches the Rfam family "Bacterial small subunit ribosomal RNA", at positions 524 to 776 of the family's 1533-position model. The record is from RNAcentral.